This 21-nucleotide non-coding RNA is filed under the name Caenorhabditis elegans. Lineage: Eukaryota; Metazoa; Nematoda; Chromadorea; Rhabditida; Rhabditidae. The record is from RNAcentral.
UAAAGUCAAUCUUUCUUGUUU